Molecule: long non-coding RNA, 1008 nt
Filed under: Serinus canaria (Common canary)
Lineage: Eukaryota; Metazoa; Chordata; Aves; Passeriformes; Fringillidae
Description: lncRNA (ENSSCAG00000001656.1)
Source: RNAcentral
AUGGCGUGGCAGGGGUGGGACAGUGCCCUGUCCUUGGUGGUGCCCUGUCCUCCUGGUGCCGUGUCCUCCUGGUGCCCUGUCCUUGGUGGUGCCCUCUCCCUCCUGGUGCCCUGUCCUCCUGGUGCCCUGUCCCUCCUGGUGCCCUGUCCUUGGUGGCACCCUGUCCUCCUGGUUCCCUGUGCCUCCUGGAGCUGUGCCCAUGCUGGUGCUGUGUCCAUGAGUUGUGUGACCCUGGCAGUGCCACUCCUGGUGGCCUCAUGCCCGUGGCAGUGCCAUGCUUAUGGUGGUGGCCGAGCUGUGCACGUGGUGGCGGCGUCCCCUCAAGCAGGGCCACGCUGGUGGCCCUGCAUGUCCAUGGUGGGGCCACGUCCUUGGUGGUGUCCCAUGGCAGGGCAAUGUCCGUGGUGGCAUUGUCCCAUCUUAUUGGGGUCCCACGCCGGUGCCAUGUCCGUGUUGGUGUUGUCCCGUUCUGUGUCCAUGUCACUGCUGUCCCCUGCCUGUGCUGGCUGUCCCCUGUCCAUGUCACAGCUGUCCCCUGUCCAUGCUGGCUGUCCCCUGUCCAUGUCACCACUGUCCCCUGUCUAUGCUGGCUGUCCCCUCCAUGCUGGCUGUCUCCUGUCCACGUCACUGCUGUCCCGUCCAUGCUGGCUUUCCCCUGUCCAUGUCACUGCUGUCCCCUCCAUGCUGGCUGUCCCCUGUCCAUAUCACUGCUGUCCCCUCCAUGCUGGCUGUCCCCUGUCCAUGCUGGCUGUCCCCUGUCCAUGUCCCUACUGUCCCCAGUCCAUGCUGGCUGUCCUCUGUCGAUGUCACUGCUGUCACCUCCAUGCUGGCUGUCCCCUGCUGUCCCCUCCAUGUCCCCGCUGUCCCCGCGGGUGCCGUGCCGUGACCCGGUGGUGCCCGCAGUGGUUGCAUGCCCGCGGCGGUGCCGUGCCCGUGCCGGUGGCGUGUCAUUGGCGUGGCGCUGAGCGCGUGUCCCCAGCAUGCUCAUCACCUACGACGACGUGGUGA